GGGCAGAACAACGCCCUCUCAUGAAACAUCCUCGUAAUCUCUAUCACUAUUUCUGUCUUCUUCUUGAGAGACAGAAACUCAUGUGUCAAUUGUGUUGGAUAAGGUGUCUAAGUCCAUAACUAUUUCGGGCUUGUACUUGACCCGACCCGGCAUGGUCCAUUUGGGUUGCAUGGCACCAUGCAAUUGGAUAGACUAAAUGAGAGAAAUAACACUUGGAGAUUAUUAAUAUAUUAUAAGUUCUAAUAUAUUAAUAAUAUUAUUUGAUUAGUUGAUCAAAGAAUUAAUUUGGAAUUAAUUAAGUGAUCAAAGGAUAACUAAUUAAAUAUAUGGGUUGAUUAUGUAAAUCAUCCAUAUCUUGUAUAGUGGGCUAAGAGGCUCCAUGGAUUAUCAAGUUGGGUUCUACCCAUAGGAUGCUCCAUGGAUGCUCCAUGGGAGUUACAAACCCAUGGGUCAUGGAAAUGAAGAGUCAUGACACAUUAGGGUUUACAUGGUGUAACCCUAGAUGUGCCAACACUAUAUAAGAGUCCCAUUCUCCACAAAAUUGGCUACACAAGUUGAACACUAAGAAACUAGAGGGCUUGGCCGAUUUUGAGAAGUGUGUGUUAUCUCAAGAGUCUUUCCAAGAGCAUUUGGUGUUGUGUGAAGCAUUUGAGGCAUCACACUUGGGGUGCUAGGCUCACAAGGUUUCAAGGAACACAAGCAACAACAAGGUAAGUUAUUCUAUCUAUGAUUCAAGUUAAAAUUGUUCCCCAUGUAUGCUAGAUAGGAAUAUAACCUUGGAAUUCAACUUUGCAUGAUAAUUAGACAAACAUAGAUCCAAGGUUAUUAGGGUUGCAUGUACACUUAGGAAGUGUUAGAAUGCUCAAAACCCAUCAGUGGUAUCAGAGCCUAGGCUUGUUUGUUUGUUAUUUGUGCUUAAAAGUUGAAGAAAGUCGAAAAUUCUGCUGUCUGACUGAUGGACUCGGCGAGUCCAUGGGGAGGACUCGUCGAGUUCAUGUGUAUCUUCAACCUACUCGGCGAGUAGGUUUAUGCACUCGGCGAGUAGGGUCGACAGAGUGCAGAAUUUCGACUUGAGUUGCUGGAAAUGGAUUAGAAUCAUUACCCUAAAAUGUUUUGGUACUUGAAAACUUAUUUUAGAAGGUGUAAUGUCUUUUCUAACUCAUUUACAACAACUAGUUAUCAAAAUUACAAAGAUUAAAUGUGAUUUUGAUUCUUGAAAGUGUUCAUAUUCAUAUUCUUGUUCUUAUGAUGUUUAGAUGAUCAUAGGAAUUAUUUGUAACCUAUGUGGUAGAUUAAUUCAUGAUCAUAAUGUGUUUUAAUGGAGUCCAUAACUUGUCCUCAAGUUAUGGAAAACCAAAAGUCUCUUGGAUUAAAAACCAUUAAAAGAACACAAGAGUUAGGAAAAAUGAAAAGUCCUCAUUUUAUUACUCUAUUAAACUCAUAAGUUACAAGAAAUGAAAAGUUUUGAAAGUUUACAAAACUUGCCCUCAAGUUUUGGAACAAGUAAAGUUAAGUUAAAACUUUAGUUCCAACCCCUAGAAUUUUAAAAGUUAAAAUUCAACCCUUAUACUUAUAUUAUUAUGAUUUAAUAAUUAUAUAUAUAUGUAUAAGAACAAAGUCGUCUUACCGCUAGUACGCCUCAUUCACGAAGCCGGUCUAUAAGGUGGGUAUAAGGUUGUUGCCUAUAAAAUGGUGACUUAAUGGGUGUCCACUCUCACCCACCGCUUGCUUGAUCGGUGGAGGGUCGUUAGCCGAACGGGUAAGACAAGGACUUAUUAAUUCUCAUUCAAAGUAUGAUGAAUAUUAUAAAGUAACUAAAUGUUUUAUUAAAUUCCCAAUCUUAGUUACUUUAGGAAAAAUGUGAAUAAGGUGCUAUUCCAUGAAAUUACACUUUACACUUUGAUUAAGUCGUUGGUGGAGCGUGUGUGGUUAACCGGCACACUAACUUGGACUUAACAAGGUAGGUAAAGGGUGACUUAGGGUUUAUUAUAGUAUCGAUGGAGCGUGUGUGGUUAACCGGCACAUCGAUUGAGUGAUAAACUUUAAGGGUACCAAGUGAUUUGCAUGGUUACUUCACACCUCGUUUUGUGAUCCUCGGUAUCCCAGUCACAAAACUUGGAGGGCACACUCGAGAUUGAAACAUGCCUUUGAAAAGUUCAUUGAAUCUCAAAGAAUCUAGGAAUUUCUAAGAACCAUUCAAAAACCUAAUACUAAAAUAUUGCGGUUUUCGUGGUGGAAAUUGGUGAAUCGUCAUUCACCUACCUUUCAAAUAUGAUAUAGCUUAGAUUACGGCAUACCUCUUCUAAGUUAUAUUAUAUUGUGAUUGGAUCCUAGCCUUAAUAUUACAUUUGGGUGUUUUAUUAAGGACUCUCUUAUAUCUAAACUAAUCUUGUCCUCUUUCCUUCAGAUGUCUUUCAACAAUGCUUCUGGCUCUAAUCCUAAUGGCUCCUUUACCCUUAUGAACUUGUGUGGGAAAGUCACCUUUGAUGGAUCCAACUUCAAUGAGUGGAUCAGAAACAUCAGGAUGAUUACCCGCUACGAGGACAAAGAAUAUGUCCUUGACAAGGAGCUUAAGGAGAUUGAUGAGUCCACUGCAACUCCUCAGGAGAUCGCUGAAUUUCGGGCACAUGAAAGGGAUGCUACGAAAGUGGCUUGCAUCAUGAUGGCCACGAUGACAGCGGAACUCCAAAAGUCUUAUGAGGAUUUCUACCCUUAUGACAUGCACCAAGAUUUGAUGGAAAGAUACCAUCAAAGUGCAAGACAAGAGAGGUAUGAAAUCAUCUGCUCCAUGAUAACAACCAUGAUGAAGGACGGGGAAUCCGUCACGAGCCACAUGCAGAAAAUGCAAAGGUAUGUGGAUCGUUUGCUGAAGCUUAAUGUGAACUUCCCGGAGGAUCUUGCAAUAGAUAUUAUUUUGCAUUCCUUACCAUCGUGCUAUGAUCAAUUCCGCAUGACAUAUCACAUGAACAAGGAAGAAGUCACCCUCAGCAAACUUCAGGGACUUCUCAAGACCGCAGAAACAGGUCUUAAGGGGAAGUCGGUUGCUAUCACUCCUACUCAAAACUCUACUCCGGUUUUGGCAAUCGGGAAAAGUCGAGGGAGGAAGAGAAAGAGCUCUUCUAAGGGUACCAAGGCUCGGACCCUUGAUGGCUCUUCUUCAAGUGGAACCAAGAAAGGUUUCGUUACUCCUUCUUCUGACCCAAAAGAGGCUGAAUGCUUCUAUUGCCAUGAAAAAGCUCAUUGGAAGCGGAACUGCCCAAAAUACCAGCAAGAUGUGAAGGAUGGGAAAGUUAAACCCAACCAUGCAGGUAUUUACACUAUCAUUUCUAAUAACUCACCCCAUUCUAAUUCUUGGGUCCUUGAUACCGGGUGUGGUAUUCACAUUUGUUGUGACUUGCAGGGACUAAGAAGAAGUGAGGAUGUGGAGCAAGGAAGGAUAAACUUGAUCAUGGGGAAUAGGAAAGCUAUACCUGUUACCAAGAUUGGAGUUUAUACUUUAUCGCUAAGUAGUGGGUUUAGUUUAGAUUUGAAUAAGUGUUGUUAUUCGCCAGGAAUGGCAAGAAAUAUUAUUUCCUUUCAUGCUUUGUACAAACAAGGGUUUACCUUUUCAUUUAAUAAUGAAGUUGGUUCUAUAGAUGUUUUCUAUAAUAAUGUCUUUUAUUUUAAAGCAUUACCUUGUGAUGGUGUGUAUGAAGCUGUAUCUGUUGUAGAUAACUUGGGAAAUAAUGUUUUGUGUAUUGAUUCUACUAAUAAUAACUUGGAUAAAGCAUCUUUAUGGCAUUGUCGUCUUGGACAUAUAAGCAAGAAACGCAUAGGCCAACUCCAAAAGGAUGGAGUCUUGGAGUCGUUUGACCUAAAGUCAGAUGAUAGUUGCGAAUCAUGCUUACUUGGAAAAAUGACAAAGUCACCCUUCACAGGUUCGUGUGAGAGGGGUGAAGGUUUGUUGGACCUUAUACACACGGAUGUGUGUGGACCAUUCAAACAUGCCACAAGGGAUGCUAAUCGUUAUUAUUUGACUUUUACUGAUGAUUAUAGUAGAUAUGGAUAUGUCUACUUGAUCAAGCAUAAGUCAGAGACUUUCGAGAGGUUUAAGGAAUUUAAACAGGAAGUCGAGAAUCAAUUGGGCAGGAACAUUAAGAUGCUUCGAUCCGAUCGUGGUGGUGAGUAUCUUAGUUCAGAGUUCCUCGACUAUCUAAGGGAAUGUGGGAUAGUCUCACAAUUGACACCUCCCAGGACACCACAGUUGAAUGGUGUGGCUGAGAGGCGUAAUCGAACCUUGUUAGAUAUGGUUCGUUCCAUGAUGAGUCGAGCUACGCUACCAAUCUCAUUCUGGGGGUAUGCCUUAGAGACUGCCGCCCAUAUUCUUAAUCUAGUCCCUACAAAGAAAGUUGCCAAAACUCCUCACGAGAUGUGGACUGGUAAAGUACCUAAACUAGACCACAUCAAGAUUUGGGGUUGCGAGGCUUUCGUGAGACGCGAGACUCAUGAUAAGCUCGAACCUCGAAGCGAGAGGUGUAUUUUCAUCGGUUACCCACAGCGAUCCUUUGGUUACCUCUUCUACAGACCUAGUGACAAUGUGGUCUUUGUAGCAAGAAGAGGAGUCUUUCGAGAAAGAGAGUUUAUAAGCCAAGGAGACAGUGGGAGGCAAAUUGAUCUUGAAGAAAUUCAAGAAUCAAGCGGUGAAGGAACUUCAAACUCUAGCCCUCAACUUGAGGAGGAAACUCCUGUUGAGCCAAUUGACAAAUCUGUACCUCUGAGACGUUCCACGAGAGUUAGGAGUGCACCUGAGCAUUACUAUGGAUUCCAUAUUACUGCAGAAGGUGAGACACUUAUUAGUGAUGAGACACUAGUAAGUCAAGAUGACCCUAACAGCUACGAGGAAGCCAUGGCAGGCCCCGAGUCUGCUAAAUGGAAAGAGGCUAUGGAUAGCGAGAUACAAUCCAUGUAUGACAAUCAAGUUUGGAACUUGGUUGAAAAUGUACCAGGUCGUAAGACAGUAGGGUGCAAAUGGGUCUUCAAGAAGAAGACCGACAUGGAUGGUAAAGUACACACUUAUAAGGCUAGACUGGUUGCAAAGGGCUUCUCUCAAAUUCCUGGAGUGGAUUAUGAUGAGACCUUUUCUCCGGUAGCCAAGAUUAAGUCUAUUCGGGUUCUGUUAGCCAUAGCUGCAUUUCAUGACUAUGAAAUAUGGCAGAUGGAUGUCAAAACCGCUUUCCUUAAUGGAAAGUUGGCUGAAGAUGUUUACAUGAGUCAGCCAGAGGGUUUUGUCAGCAACGAGUACCCUAAUAGAGUGUGUAAGCUUGAGAAAUCCAUUUAUGGAUUGAAGCAAGCACCUCGCAGAUGGAAUCUUUGCUUUGAUGAAAAGGUCAAGGAAUUUGGCUUUUCUAGGAGUGAAGAUGAAUCUUGUGUGUAUGUCAAGGCUAGUGGGAGUAUAGUUAGCUUUUUGGUAUUGUAUGUGGAUGACAUACUACUCAUAGGAAACGACAUUCCAACCCUGCAGGAAGUAAAGUCCUGGCUUGGGAAGUGUUUCGCUAUGAAGGACCUUGGUGAAGCUGCCUAUAUUCUAGGGAUAAGAAUCUUGAGAGAUCGGAGUAAAAGACUAAUUGGACUUAGUCAGAGUACCUACUUGGAUAAGGUGCUGAAGAGAUUCAGCAUGCAGGAUUCCAAGAAAGGAGAGUUACCCAUCCAGAGUAACACCAGAUUGAGUAAGACACAAAGCCCUAGCACUGAGGCUGAGAUAGCAGAAAUGAGUCGAACACCUUACGCUUCGGCUGUAGGAUCGAUCAUGUAUGCUAUGACGUGUACUCGACCCGAUGUAGCUUUUGCCUUGAGCAUGGUUAGCAGGUAUCAGGCGAACCCUGGCAAGGCACACUGGACUGCGGUAAAGAAUAUCCUCAAGUACCUACGGAGGACUAAGGACUGGGUCCUUACCCUCGGUGGGAGUGAUGACUUGAGAGUUGUAGGGUAUAGUGAUGCUAGCUUCCAGACUGAUAGGGAUAAUUUCCGCUCUCAGUCGGGCUGGGUCUUUACCCUAAACGGAGGAGCAAUUUCUUGGAAGAGUUCCAAGCAAGAGACAGUGGCAGAUUCUACUUGUGAAUCAGAGUAUAUUGCAGCUAGUGAAGCAGCAAAGGAGGCGAUAUGGCUGAAGAACUUCAUUGGAGACCUUGGAGUUGUACCAGCUAUUAAAGAGCCAAUGGAAAUUUUCUGUGAUAGUGAAAGUGCUGUUGCCUUAGCCAAGGAACCAAGGGAUCAUGGGAGAUCCAGACACAUCGACAGAAAAUACCAUUUCAUUAGACAUCGGAUCGAAGAAGGACUCCUCGUGGCAAAGAGGGUAUCAUCGGAUGAGAACCCAGCAGAUCCCCUCACGAAGGGACUGAGUAGGGUUAAGCAUCUCCAGCAUGCUCGGAGCAUAGGGCUGAAGGAUGAUAUAAGUUUUAGUAGUUAGAUAACCCAGAAAUUUGUAAAGUGUAAUUGACAUUUGAUGAUGAAUAAAAGGUGUUUUAUUUAUGAGUAAAGUGUUGCUAUCUCUUGUCGAUCGUUUACUAUAUUUCUUUUGCAUGUUUUGACUUCCAGAAUAAUUUUGUUUGGUAUAACAUAUUAUUCAAACCUCCACAGUCGGUCAUAUGUUGGAAGUAGAUAUGAAUCAAGACUGUCAUGUUUGGUUGUAGAGGUCUUGGACAAGGCUACAACAAUCAUGAGUGCUCAUAAGUUCUGAGCAUUGGACUCAACCCACGCUCACUGGAAUCACUUCAUGGAAUUCUAUCUCGAGUGAUCGUGAGACGGUAAUAUCAUAUAAGUCUUCAAACCUAGAGAUAUGAUUUGUUACUUACAAGUUGGUUAUGCAUUGACUGUACGAAACCGCAUUGGUAACUCGAUGUUAUAAAACGUACUUUUGUGUGUAAUUCAAUGAGUGGUAGAACAAACAUAUGAGUCGAAGUUUAUCUGUUCCUUCUUGGAUUAGAAGCUGAUAUCUGGGCCCCUCGAUGAUUUUGUUUUGACCCAUGUACCGGGCCCGGUCAGAACUAAGUUGAUGUGUUCAAUUAAGUUCUAUGUCAAACAAAUCGGAAAUCGGGAAACAAAUGCUGGACAAUAAGCAAGACAAUGUUCCAUGUAUUUGUCCGGCUGAUAUCUAGAACGGAGGAUUAUAUGAUCACUUAUCUUAAAUGGCGUACCAUCAUCUUCUCAGUUCCGAGAGACCUUGAAAGAGCUACGAUUGCCGGUCGGUUCCUGAAGUACUAGAGAUAUAGUUAUUAGACUUAUCCAAGUGGGAGACUGUUGGAUAAGGUGUCUAAGUCCAUAACUAUUUCGGGCUUGUACUUGACCCGACCCGGCAUGGUCCAUUUGGGUUGCAUGGCACCAUGCAAUUGGAUAGACUAAAUGAGAGAAAUAACACUUGGAGAUUAUUAAUAUAUUAUAAGUUCUAAUAUAUUAAUAAUAUUAUUUGAUUAGUUGAUCAAAGAAUUAAUUUGGAAUUAAUUAAGUGAUCAAAGGAUAACUAAUUAAAUAUAUGGGUUGAUUAUGUAAAUCAUCCAUAUCUUGUAUAGUGGGCUAAGAGGCUCCAUGGAUUAUCAAGUUGGGUUCUACCCAUAGGAUGCUCCAUGGAUGUUCCAUGGGAGUUACAAACCCAUGGGUCAUGGAAAUGAAGAGUCAUGACACAUUAGGGUUUACAUGGUGUAACCCUAGAUGUGUCAACACUAUAUAAGAAGCAUAUUCUCCACCAAAAUCGGCUACACUAAGAAACUAGAGGGCUUGGCCGAUUUUGAGAAGUGUGUGUUAUCUCAAGAGUCUUUCCAAGAGCAUUUGGUGUUGUGUGAAGCAUUUGAGGCAUCACACUUGGGGUGCUAGGCUCAUAAGGUUUCAAGGAACACAAGCAACAACAAGGUAAGUUAUUCUAUCUAUGAUUCAAGUUAAAAUUGUUCCCCAUGUAUGCUAGAUAGGAAUAUAACCUUGGAAUUCAACUUUGCAUGAUAAUUAGACAAACAUAGAUCCA
This 7990-nucleotide long non-coding RNA is filed under the name Lactuca sativa (garden lettuce). Its description in RNAcentral is "long non-coding RNA (LSAT_LNC008516)". Lineage: Eukaryota; Viridiplantae; Streptophyta; Magnoliopsida; Asterales; Asteraceae. The record is from RNAcentral.